GCUCGAGUGGCGAACGGGUGAGUAACACGUGAGUAACCUGCCCUUGACUUUGGGAUAACUUCAGGAAACUGGGGCUAAUACCGGAUAGGAGCUCCUGCUGCAUGGUGGGGGUUGGAAAGUUUCGGCGGUUGGGGAUGGACUCGCGGCUUAUCAGCUUGUUGGUGGGGUAGUGGCUUACCAAGGCUUUGACGGGUAGCCGGCCUGAGAGGGUGACCGGCCACAUUGGACUGAGAUACGGCCCAG
This 243-nucleotide ribosomal RNA is filed under the name uncultured Actinomycetales bacterium. RNAcentral describes it as "partial 16S ribosomal RNA". It matches the Rfam family "Bacterial small subunit ribosomal RNA", at positions 89 to 334 of the family's 1533-position model. Lineage: Bacteria; Bacillati; Actinomycetota; Actinomycetes; Actinomycetales. The record is from RNAcentral.